Molecule: ribosomal RNA, 526 nt
Filed under: uncultured bacterium
Lineage: Bacteria
Description: bacterial SSU rRNA
Rfam family: Bacterial small subunit ribosomal RNA
Source: RNAcentral
AAUAGAUACCCGGGUAGUCCACGCCGUAAACGAUGAGUGCUAAGUGUUGGAGGGUUUCCGCCCUUCAGUGCUGCAGCUAACGCAUUAAGCACUCCGCCUGGGGAGUACGGUCGCAAGACUGAAACUCAAAGGAAUUGACGGGGGCCCGCACAAGCGGUGGAGCAUGUGGUUUAAUUCGAAGCAACGCGAAGAACCUUACCAGGUCUUGACAUCUCCUGACCGCCCUGGAGACAGGGUCUUCCCUUCGGGGACAGGAUGACAGGUGGUGCAUGGUUGUCGUCAGCUCGUGUCGUGAGAUGUUGGGUUAAGUCCCGCAACGAGCGCAACCCUUGGUUCUAGUUGCCAGCAUUCAGUUGGGCACUCUAGAGCGACUGCCGGCAACAAGUCGGAGGAAGGUGGGGAUGACGUCAAAUCAUCAUGCCCCUUAUGACCUGGGCUACACACGUGCUACAAUGGAUGGUACAAAGGGCAGCGAAGCGGCGACGCAUAAGCGAAUCCCAGAAAACCAUUCUCAGUUCGGAUUGCG